RNAcentral lists this ribosomal RNA (253 nucleotides) under uncultured bacterium. RNAcentral describes it as "partial 16S ribosomal RNA". It matches the Rfam family "Bacterial small subunit ribosomal RNA", at positions 524 to 776 of the family's 1533-position model. The record is from RNAcentral.
UACAGGGGGUGCAAACGUUGCUCGGAAUCAUUGGGCGUAAAGCGCACGUAGGCGGUUCGUUAUGUCGGAUGUGAAAGCCCUUGGCUUAACCGAGGAACUGCCCUCCAAACUGCUUUACUUGAGGCCGGGAGAGGUGAGUGGAAUUCCCAGUGUAGCGGUGAAAUGCGUAGAUAUUGGGAGGAACACCAGUGGCGAAGGCGGCUCACUGGACCGGUUCUGACGCUGAAGCGCGAAAGCGUGGGGAGCAAACGGG